Molecule: ribosomal RNA, 173 nt
Filed under: Upeneus moluccensis (goldband goatfish)
Lineage: Eukaryota; Metazoa; Chordata; Actinopteri; Syngnathiformes; Mullidae
Description: partial 12S rRNA
Source: RNAcentral
CGCCGCGGUUAUACGAGAGGCCCAAGUUGAUAGGCAUCGGCGUAAAGGGUGGUUAAGGAAAACUGCAAAAUAAAGCCGAACAUCUUCAAAGCUGUUAUACGCUAUCGAAGGCCCCGAAGCCCUACUACGAAAGUGGCUUUACCCCCGCCCCCGAACCCACGAAAGCUAGGGUA